UACGUAGGGGGCAAGCGUUGUCCGGAAUUAUUGGGCGUAAAGCGCGCGCAGGCGGUCAUUUAAGUCUGGUGUUUAAUCCCGGGGCUCAACCCCGGAUCGCACUGGAAACUGGGUGACUUGAGUGCAGAAGAGGAGAGUGGAAUUCCACGUGUAGCGGUGAAAUGCGUAGAUAUGUGGAGGAACACCAGUGGCGAAGGCGACUCUCUGGGCCGUAACUGACGCUGAGGCGCGAAAGCGUGGGGAGCAAACAGG
Molecule: ribosomal RNA, 252 nt
Filed under: uncultured bacterium
Lineage: Bacteria
Description: partial 16S ribosomal RNA
Rfam family: Bacterial small subunit ribosomal RNA
Source: RNAcentral